UAUUGGGACUGACAAACCAUUAGGCGGUGGCCAAGAGUGACAGGACACAGUGAUCCUGCUGGGAGGGAGAGUGCAUCAGCGAGUUCCGAGUCUCCUACGGCCUGAGAAGGGCCUUUCUACUCCUGCCAACCUCGGAAGGUUCCUGGGAGAGCUGGCUUCACUUGGCCAGGACACCUGCUGAGCUGGUACCAUGAAAGAAGAGGUGAAGGGAAUUCCUGUAAGAGUGGCACUGCGUUGUCGCCCCCUUGUCUCUAAAGAGAUUAAUGAGGGCUGCCAGACGUGCCUUUCUUUUGUGCCCGGAGAGCCUCAGGUGGUGGUUGGUACUGAUAAAUCAUUUACCUACGAUUUUGUGUUUGACCCCUCUACUGAACAGGAAG
Molecule: long non-coding RNA, 377 nt
Filed under: Rattus norvegicus (Norway rat)
Lineage: Eukaryota; Metazoa; Chordata; Mammalia; Rodentia; Muridae
Description: long non-coding RNA NONRATT030569
Source: RNAcentral